This 253-nucleotide ribosomal RNA is filed under the name uncultured bacterium. Its description in RNAcentral is "partial 16S ribosomal RNA". It matches the Rfam family "Bacterial small subunit ribosomal RNA", at positions 524 to 776 of the family's 1533-position model. The record is from RNAcentral.
UACGUAGGGUGCAAGCGUUGUCCGGAAUCAUUGGGCGUAAAGCGCGUGUAGGCGGUCCGGUAAGUCGGCUGUGAAAGUCCAGGGCUCAACCCUGGGAUGCCGGUCGAUACUGCCGGACUAGAGUUCGGAAGAGGCGAGUGGAAUUCCCGGUGUAGCGGUGAAAUGCGCAGAUAUCGGGAGGAACACCAAUGGCGAAGGCAGCUCGCUGGGACGUUACUGACGCUGAGACGCGAAAGCGUGGGGAGCAAACAGG